RNAcentral lists this long non-coding RNA (227 nucleotides) under Lathyrus oleraceus (garden pea). Its description in RNAcentral is "Pisum sativum (pea) long non-coding RNA (PSAT_LNC020930)". The record is from RNAcentral. Lineage: Eukaryota; Viridiplantae; Streptophyta; Magnoliopsida; Fabales; Fabaceae.
UUAUUUCUAAAAUUCAUAUCUCUCUUAUUAUUGGUCCAAAAAUUAUGCGACCAAUUGCAUUAUUUCUCUUUUAAUUUCUAGUUUCUAAAAAUGAUUUUUAAUUUUUUUUAUUUCAUCAUUUUCUAUUUUUUAGUAAUUUUCUCUUUUCUGGUUAUUUUUAAUUCAUUUUAAAUAGUUUUUUAUAUUCAAAAAAUACAAAAAUAUUUUCUCAACCUCUUUGAAUGAUG